RNAcentral lists this ribosomal RNA (266 nucleotides) under uncultured bacterium. RNAcentral describes it as "partial 16S ribosomal RNA". The record is from RNAcentral.
CUGCUGCCUCCCGUAGGAGUUUGGGCCGUGUCUCAGUCCCAAUGGUGGCCGUCCACCCUCUCCAGGCCGGCUACUGAUCGUCGCCUUGGUGGGCCGUUACCCCGCCAACAAGCUAAUCAGACGCGGGUCCAUCUUACACCACCGGAGUUUUUCACACAAAUCCAUGCGGCUUCGUGCGCUUAUGCGGUAUUAGCACCUAUUUCUAAGUGUUACUCCCCCAGUGUAAGGCAGGUUACCCACGCGUUACUCACCCGUCCGCCACUAAG